Molecule: ribosomal RNA, 1083 nt
Filed under: uncultured bacterium
Lineage: Bacteria
Description: bacterial SSU rRNA
Rfam family: Bacterial small subunit ribosomal RNA
Source: RNAcentral
GUUUGAUCAUGGCUCAGGACGAACGCUGGCGGCGUGCUUAACACAUGCAAGUCGAACGGUGAAGCCCUUCGGGGUGGAUCAGUGGCGAACGGGUGAGUAACACGUGAGCAACCUGCCCCUGACUCUGGGAUAACUACCGGAAACGGUGGCUAAUACCGGAUAUUACGCCCUGUCGCAUGGUGGGGUGUGGAAAGUUUUUCGGUCAGGGAUGGGCUCGCGGCCUAUCAGCUUGUUGGUGGGGUGAUGGCCUACCAAGGCGAUGACGGGUAGCCGGCCUGAGAGGGCGACCGGCCACACUGGGACUGAGACACGGCCCAGACUCCUACGGGAGGCAGCAGUGGGGAAUAUUGCGCAAUGGGCGAAAGCCUGACGCAGCGACGCCGCGUGAGGGAUGAAGGCCUUCGGGUUGUAAACCUCUUUCAGCAGGGAAGAAGCGAAAGUGACGGUACCUGCAGAAGAAGCACCGGCUAACUACGUGCCAGCAGCCGCGGUAAUACGUAGGGUGCAAGCGUUGUCCGGAAUUAUUGGGCGUAAAGAGCUCGUAGGCGGUUUGUCGCGUCUGCUGUGAAAACCUGGGGCUUAACCCCGGGCCUGCCAGUGGGUACGGGCAGACUAGAGUGCGGUAGGGGAGUGGGGAGUACGGCCGCAAGGCUAAACUCAAAGGAAUUGACGGGGGCCCGCACAAGCGGCGGAGCAUGCGGAUUAAUUCGAUGCAACGCGAAGAACCUUACCAAGGCUUGACAUGGCCAGUAAUCCGGCAGAGAUGUCGGGUCCGUAAGGCUGUUCACAGGUGGUGCAUGGUUGUCGUCAGCUCGUGUCGUGAGAUGUUGGGUUAAGUCCCGCAACGAGCGCAACCCUCGUUCCAUGUUGCCAGCACGUAAUGGUGGGGACUCAUGGGAGACUGCCGGGGUCAACUCGGAGGAAGGUGGGGAUGACGUCAAAUCAUCAUGCCCCUUAUUCUUGGGCUUCACGCAUGCUACAAUGGCCAGUACAAAGGCUGCGAGACCGUAAGUGGAGCGAAUCCCAAAAGCUGGUCUCAGUUCGGAUCGGGUCUGCAACUCGACCCCGUGAAGUCGGAGUCGC